This 5240-nucleotide long non-coding RNA is filed under the name Sus scrofa (pig). RNAcentral describes it as "lncRNA (ENSSSCG00050046313.1)". Lineage: Eukaryota; Metazoa; Chordata; Mammalia; Artiodactyla; Suidae. The record is from RNAcentral.
ACCUGCCCGUCUUAUUUGAAUCUCAGAUAACUUUCAAUUGCUGUCCCUUUAAUCCAGCCUUUCUUAACCCACACCUGUGCAUUUCCUGUCUCUGUAAUUUAUUCAGGCUCCUUCUUAGAAGUUAUCUUGUCAUUGAAGACUUCCACGCCCAUGUGUGUUAAAGACAAUACUCAGUCUGAAGUUAAUCUCUUUUCAUUUGGUUUACCUUCCUUGUUAUAGCCUUUAUCUACAUUGAUAUUAUAUUGUAUAUUUAGAGCAUAUUGUUUAUUUUUCCCCCUAAAAUGUGAGAAAAUUUUUCUUAUCUUGAUCUCUACUAUUGACCCCAGUAACAUGAGCAAUAGCUAGCACACAGUCCAGGCUUGAUACAUUUUUGAAUAAAUAAAAGAAAGAAUCAAUGAAUGCAUGGUGGGAAUUUGCUCUUGCCAGAGCUGAAAUUGCCCCUCAUGUAAAUACCUAAGACUGCCAAUGAAGUUAUUUCCAAACACUGUAUAAAUCUCAUCGUGUUGGAGUGUUGCUGAAUUCCAUGCCGAAGUCAGAAAAGUGACUUUCUGCCAAACCCCAUCUCACACAUGGGCCCCUAAACCGAAUUUAUUUUGAUCAGUGUUCUCAAUGUUUCCCCAAACAACUCCUCCAGGCACCAGCCCCAACCUCACACUCAGACUCUCAGCCUUACAUGGAAUUUUUUCCAUCUGCUUUCUGCCCUUACACAAAUCAUAGCAAUUCAGCUCAGUCCAAGGGAUCAGUCAGAAAACAGUCACUAUGCCAUCUUCAGGUCCCUUGUCUAUAAUUGUAUUUCCUGAGGUCCUGAAUCAGAUACCAUUAGGCAUUUCUCUGUCAAUAGAGUAAAGCAUCUGCAGCAUAGAGAAGAGUGUGCUAAGAAUGCAACAUCUAAUUCCCAGCAGAGCCCCAACUUAUUUUGUACCAGAUAAACACAUCUCAAGAAAUACAGGUUAUACAAAGGCAAGGUACAGUGAAGUUUUUAUGACAAAAUGAUAUGAUGUCUGAGGUUUGCUUUAAAAUAGCCCAGUGGAAGUAGGAAGAGGGGUGGGAGAAAAGAGAUAAAACAAGACAGGCAAACAAUUGUCAUUUCCAAUCUCAGUGAUGGAAACCCAAAUGUACCCAUGUGUACUCUUUUCCACACAUCUAUGUUUGAAUCCUUCCAUAAUUAAAAGCCAAAAGAAAGAAACAGACAAAAGAAAGGAUAUAUAGGUUUAGCAGCAGCAGAAUACCAAAUACUUUGCAGAGGCUUUGUAAUUCAGUUAUCUGGCAUUAUAUUUUUAAUGAAACCUCCAGCAAACUCAGACUCCAACUCAAAGACUAAAACUUCUCUCCUCUUUGACAAGUGAUUCCCCCAUGAGAGACACAAGUUCUCAGUUCUGAAUGAAAUGGCACCAAAAAGUACUCAAUCCAUCAUUCUUGUCCCAUUCAAGAUGGAGUUUCUAAAUGUAGCUAGACUCUUCCUGAGGAGCUGUUUGUGGUGCUGAAACAGGGACUCUGUGAGAGUGGCAGACCAGGCACAAACAAGAUGGAUACGCACAUGGAGGGUGCCUUUUCUGCCACAAAUGCAUCAAGCAGGAGGUCAUUGGCGGCAGCAUCUGCAUGCAGUGAUGCUUGUGGGACCUUCUACAAGCAGAAUGAAUAGGUCUACUCUCAUCAUUUGUGGCCCUAGAUUUUAGUGGCUGGAAUUUAUACCAAACUUGGAGAAGAAAAAAAAAAAGUCUUCUUUUUUAGAUGCAAUGUAUCAGCCUUCCUGCUCCUUCCUCUUUGACAUUCUUUCCUAAGUAACAUGCACUCACCCAACUGGCCACUUGCCUGGGUCUGGCCCUAUUAAGAUUUACCUUUGAGUUGUCCAGAAAUGCUACUUUUCACCCAAGGUCUACCUACUGUUCCUAAUCAAUUUAUGGUUAAAAUAUUCAGGCAGCCAAGCUAAGCUAUUCUGUGGCUGGCUCUUAUCAGAAAGCUUGUGCUCUUGCUAGAAUUUCUUCUGGUCUUAUCAGUUUCUUUUAAAAAAAAUCCUUUCUUCCUGCUGAUAUUUCUGACUCAAAAUAAGGAAGAGCAUUGCAAUCAACACUUGAAACUCUUUGUUCUUUGGGCUCCAGAGUGGGCACUCCUGCAGCCACUCUGUUAAUCAGCAGCAACCUUUGUGUCAUAGUGAUUUUUCACUAGUUCUGCCUACUAAUGGGCAGAAGAAUGAUGUUUGUAAACCAUGGGGAAAACUUGUGACAGAGGAACCAAGGGCUCAGACUUCAGUGAGCUAAUUACUCCAUUCUGAAACAGGCUGGGUUGGCCUGAGGUGAUGUUGUGAGGUAGUUGGCAUCUGUCUGCCUCAGUGCAUCACCUAGAUUUUCCUUCCUUCUUGCUAAUUUUUCUUGCUUUUUAUUAUCUAUUUCUCUGCCAAGUGCCCAUUAUUUUCAUGCUUCAAUUUUUUCCACACUGAAAAAUUAAUUUAUUCUAAAGUAUUACAGAUUGUAAUAUUAAUUUCUUACUUUUCACAGGAGAAUUUGAAAAAGGAGAGGUCAAAAGAAAUGGACGGUGGAAUUUUAGAACUGAGGCCACUCUGGAAAGGGUACAUUUUUCCUUUUAGAGAAUUUCAUCAGAUUCUUCACAGCUAUACAAUGUAAUGAAGGGGGAAUCUUAGAGAUAUGUCUUCUUGUCUUUACUCAGGCGAUUAUUAGCUUAAUGAAUAAGGAGAACUGACUUGCCCAUCUGGUCCUCUUUCCUCACUUGCUUAAAAUGAAAGUCUGAAGCUGUAAUAUCCCAGUGCCCAGCAUCACACUUGCACACAGUAGGUGUGCUAUCUGAGAGUGAGCUAAAUGAAUAAAGGGAAACUACUUCCAGCUUUCACAUUUUAUGAGACUAAGUCACAUCUUAAAAGCAAUGAUUUUCUUAUGUAUCUGUCUUGGCUUGGUAUUAGACAUUUGAUCAGUGUGCUUACAAAUUCUACUUGCUUGCUUGGAAACUUACAGAAGAUGAGGCCACAUUCUUGAGUAGUUCAAAUUCUUAUAAAGUACAGGGAAAUUUCAAAGGGAGCUUGUAGUUAAAAGAUAGUUGGUUCAAGAUUUGUGUAGAGGACAGGAUAGGUUUAUAGUAAACAGUAUAGGUGAGUUAUAGAAUAUAAAGUGUCCAUAUAAAAUAUAAAAUAACAAGAAAUACACAAUAUAAAGUAAUAAAGAAGGGUCAUAGCUACAGUUUAGCAUACAUAGAAUAUGUGCUUUAAAACUUCCGACCCUUCACUGAGAUGUUUAGUAGGUGUUUCUACAAGACAUUUCUUAGGAGAGUUUGCAUUUUCUGGACUAUAGUAGGAAAUAUAUCAAUGAUGCCAACUUUCUAUGAAUUUUUAGGCCAUUGGGGAUCAUAUAUGCUAGAAUACUUUCUUUUCUUUCACAUUGUAUUCAUAUACAUUCAUUCACUCAAUCAAUAAGUUCUAAUUUGAAGAUAAAUUAAGUGCCAACUAUGCUGUGAGUAGCUAUAAAAAUGAAGAAAAUACAUUUCAUAUUACUUACAGUACAAUUGGAAAGAUAGCUAAGUAAAUAUAACUACAUAAAUAUAGUAAGUAUUUUAACAGUUAACAUUUAAAUAAUGUGAUUCAAUACUUUGAAAUAAUAUAGAAGAACAGGGAAAAAAACACCUAAGUCUUAUUAGCUGGGGUGUUAGGAGUGACCAGCUGAGGUGGUUUGAGGAGAGUAAAGUUCACUUCUAAAUACACAGAAGUAGGGAAAAGCCUAUAAAUCCACACCAUGUCCCCUUUCCCCCAAAUAAACUGAACUAUUUCUUCUAUUUGGAGCAAAAGUUAAAUGUUAGAGAAUAUUAACAGAUAAGACCAAAAUUGUUGGCAGGAUUCUAUUAUUGAAGAGUUGAGGUUUUGUAUUUUAGUCAUUAGGGAUUUUGGAGUCCUUUGAAAGAAAAUAUCAAUUAGUCUUUGCCAUGCCUGUAAAUUUCAAAACUGUAAUAGGUUAUACACACAGGAAAAUGGUACCUAGUGAUAGAUACACUUUUGGACCUGAAAAUACAUCUUGGGGCACAUCACUUAUGAUUUUUUAAAAUUAGAAAAUUUUAACUGCCACAUAUAUUAAGCCUAGAAUUAUACUCAAAGUUGCUUGCCAUAUAAAGGAAGUUUAUAAAAUAUACCUGUUUAUCUUGAGAACAUUCUAGGAUCCAAGAUAUGGAUACAAAGAAAAUAAAGAGGAAAGUCAUAACAUAUAAAUAUGGGCUUUGUGAUGUGAUACCUACUUUCACACUAAGCCCUUAGUGGGAGGGGUCCCUGGAACAUAGAGUAAUAGGCCCAGGAUUUGUGGAAAAGGUAGAUCUCCAACUUAACUUUGAAGAAUGAAUCAAUUCAAACAACUAAAGGAGGAGGCUAUCCCAUUUCAUCUUGGGAGAUAACAUGAAUAAAGACUUGAAAGUGGAAGUACUGUAACAUUUGGUGAUAAGAUUAAUCAUUUGCUCAUUUUAUAUUAAUUAACCAAAGCUCAUACAUUAUUCAAAUUGCUUAGGUCUUAUCUGAAGGUCCUUUUUUCUCCAGAAUUCCAUCCAGUAUAUCAUAUCUGACUUAGUCAUCAUGUCUUUUUAGAAGACCACAGAGAUAAAGUGCCAUUUUCAUUACAUCAUAUGAAGAGUACAUACAAACAACAUGACAUCACUGUCGAUGUGAACUUUGAUCACCUGGCUGAGGUAGCACUUGUCAGCUAUCCUCAUUUAAAGUUAAUGUCCUAUCCCCACUCCCGUAUUCCAUUCAGUAUUGUUUGAAAGGAUGUCAUCGUAGGCAACUUUAAGGAGAAUUAGACUUUACUUCCAAGGGAAGAAUAUCUACAUAAAUUAUUUGGAAUUCUUUUGCCUCAUUUAUUUAUUUGUUCAAUCUACCACUUAGCUAAGUCUGUGUGCCCUCAUGGGUAUUUAUUUUAUACUCUGGGCUAUAAUCAAAUGCUUCUCAAUUAUCUUGUUACUUAAAUUAUUCCAUCUUUGACCAUUGGAAGCUCUAUCAGUUGGCCACUGCUUUCCUUUGACAUAUCCCUUCAUUGGGUGUUUAGUUAGGUUUUGUUUGUUUUUUAAAGCAAUUCCUUACUUUUCAUCACUUAAAGAUUCUGUGGGUUCAUCUUGUUUAUUUCCUCACCUAGUUGUAGAUUCAGUCAUUUCUCAAAGUUGCCCUCAUUCCUUCAAUGGAGAGUGGUAUUAGAAACCAAGGUCCAGGACAUAGAAACAACCCAAAUGUCCAUUGACAGAUGAUUGGAUUUGGAAGAGGU